UUUACCACAGGAUUAAACAUUUACAUUUUCCUCCUGACUUGAUCCCUGCAGAGUUUGGAAACUCUUAAGAAUUCUUUCCACAACACUAAGUGUUUGCAUGAGUUUAGUAAGAGUCUGUUCUGCUUAUCACAGGAUACAGUUAGAAACAUUCGCUGUACUAACAGGGCUUUGACUGGAAUGUCGAGGAGCCGACCGCAGAAAUCAAGGACGAGGCAGGAGAGAGAGAUGGUGUGGGGUGAACCCAGGCACCCAACCUGGAGGAGAAGCUAAAGAUCCAGAAUAAACCGGCACAAUGACGACGGACCCCAGCGCUCAGGGGCUGUGAAAGCUGGUGGGCUCUCAGACGACCGUUCUGUUCUGCGCUCCAGCCCCACACGUCCCGUCAGCGGGAACUUGAAAGCCGUCCAGCCCGGCCCGGAGCUCUCACCAUCGUCCCCUUUCCAACCUUCUGCCUCGUCCGUCACAGAGGCCUCGUCUACCUGCAGAGUCGCUCCCCACCCCCAACCUGAAGAGACCACCAGAGACACGGGACGCUUGACCCCGCGGUGGGCUUGGAGUGAGCACGGGCCUGUCGCUCGUGGAACGGUCUCUCCGUCCCUGGAGGCAUAAACCCCCAGGAGGAGUUGGACAUCGGCUGGGGAGGGCACGUCUCUGCCUGGGCUCCGAGCCCACCAGGAGCGGGGCUGCGGGGCUGCCUAGCGUGGUGGGAGGCGGGUGGGGGUGCCGGGCGGACCCCAAGGGAGAAAGGAAGAGAGUCCCGACUCCUUUCUCGGGUAAAGGGGCAGACAAGGCACGGCUCUGACUAAAUGACUCCCGGAGGCUCCACCUGGUUCUCGAAACCGAGGAAAGAGGGAAUGGAGCAUCUUUACCAAGAGGAGGCAGCUCAGACCACGGCACCCUUAGGAGCGGCCCUGGGCUCAGGGUCAGCCGGGCCGCCUCAGCCCCCACAGGCAUCGUCACAGGGUGGACAGGGGGCUGGUGAGCGGCGGUGGCUGCCCUCCUCGCCACUCGAGAGCAUUUGGAUGGUGUCCAAAAAUGUGGAGCUACAGCCUCAGGAACUUUCAUAGCAGACACGGGCUGACACCUGAUAUGUGCGACUACUGCCCGUGUAGACGCUCACACAGUGCCCUGAUGUGGCGGCUGUUUGCCCGUGUAGACGCUCACACAGAGCCCUGAUGUGGCGGCUGUUUGCCCGUGUAGACGCUCACACAUGCCCUGAUGUGACUGUUGGUCCAUGUAGAUGCUCACAGGCCCCCUGCCCCUGUGCCUGCCCUCUAGGGUGGAAUAUCCACAUGCACUCCAGGCCCACGUUGGGGUGAUACCGACCCUGAUAUCAGUUGCUGUCCAUUAAACCCAGAAUAUAUGGGGUUAAAACCAAAACACUCAUUCCCUGCUUACUCCCGGGCUUCCUGGCUCCAGAAUCCGCUAUCUUCCAUGGAGACAGACACCGUCAAGGACAAGCACCUGG
Molecule: long non-coding RNA, 1468 nt
Filed under: Equus asinus (donkey)
Lineage: Eukaryota; Metazoa; Chordata; Mammalia; Perissodactyla; Equidae
Description: lncRNA (ENSEASG00005026648.1)
Source: RNAcentral